RNAcentral lists this long non-coding RNA (2403 nucleotides) under Bemisia tabaci. RNAcentral describes it as "lncRNA ENSSSA3NGG006995". Lineage: Eukaryota; Metazoa; Arthropoda; Insecta; Hemiptera; Aleyrodidae. The record is from RNAcentral.
UCGCCUCCAAUGUUGAAGUGGACCGUUGGUCAAAAGCAGCAGAAUUUGACGUCAUCGAGUUUUGGUUCCUCCACGAUCCAAUCAGUGAGCUCUGGUCCCUGUUACCCAAUAUGUCGCACCAAUGUCAAAAUUCACGGCACUUCAAAAUCUCGGGCUCGCCGUGUUUCCAUCCGCCAGCUGAACAAAGAAAACAGGCAGUGCCACAAAUCUAUCGAGCAGAAAGUGAUUUGCACCGAGGCUUCGAUGGGAGCGGGGUCCCCGCGCUUACGUGAUAGCAUGAACAUGAGGCUGGAGAGUCUGCCGGUCGCCCUGCGCGACGUGAGCAACCACUUCUCGCCGCGCCUCGACCAUGCCAGUCUGUCCGAUUCCAUCGACCGCGUCCAGAGAAGACGAAGCUGCAGCAAACGGCAGAAGAAGAGCCCUUGCUCCGUCCCUCACACGAGCGACUCCAGAGGAGGAAGUCUGAGCCUCCGUAUUUCAUACACGAGGACGAGGACGAGAAUGGGACAAAAGACCGCGGGAAGAACGAGACAAAGUCUGUGUCAGUAAUGAGCCCAAGCAACUCUCCGAAAAAGAAACAGCCGUGCUUGGACGUGCACCAUUGCAUCAAGUUAGAAGCAUCCGCGACCACGGCCGCAUGCAGCACCUCCGCGGUGGGACAGCCGCAAAUUGCCAAGAAGCGCAUCGUCGGAUCAAAGUCGCCCGAUUCAAACUCCGCCCUGGUAACACCCCCACUUCCACCCACAAUGUGCCCUCCAGACCGCCUGCCGAGUCUAUCCCCGAUUCUGACGGCCUCCACGCCGGCGCGCUACGACAAUCCCGUCCACUUCGCCCUGGAACACUCCCCGCCUGCCGAGCCGGACCUCCUUCUCCACAAAGAGUUACCAAUAGCCCGCACCUGUAACCGAUCCAAAAUCCCGCGCCAGCUCUUUCAAGACCUGCAGGAAGUUCAAUUGGAGGCUCAGUCGGCCGUUAAGGAUACCCUCAACACCUCGAGCGACCUCCUCGAGAGGACAUUUCGAAAAAGCCAGAAAAACGUGGAAAACAAGGGAAUGCCUUGCGACGUCUCCCCGUUGGCUAGAAAGCUCGCCUGGCUUCGGCUUAAUACACAGCUGACCAAGAACCGCGUGCCGGCGCAGGAGCCGGCACCCGCACCACCGACCGCCAUCGACUCGAUGGAGCCUGAGGAGGACGCCACCGCAGUGACAGCGCGUCAUUUACCCGACGUCAUCCUUCGAAACCGCCAGUGCCUCAACCCAUUCAGUAGCAACUUAUGUGACGUAGGCGAACAAUUAGAUAAUCUAGAAGAUGUUAAUAACCCCAACUUGACUAACAAUAAUCGGGUUUCCAAGCGACGAGGGGCUUGCUUCAACGACUUGAGCUUCCUGCUAAACACACCGCUUUUCGGGAAGGAGGACAUUCCUCCGACUCUGAAACGACAACGUGUCAUCAUCCGCAGGCGGCGAAGAAAUACCAACUCCGGAUGUAAGGAGGACAUGGAGAGUUUGACAAAGAUUCCCCGGAGAAGAGGUCUUAGUUCCUCUGUCUUGACCCUUCCGAAUGGUAUUCCUAGCCCGUUCACACAGUUCAACGUCAGCCUGACGGCAGGGGGCAACGGUAGUACACUCGGAUUCAAUUGCACACCAGCCAAGAGACCCGAUUGUAUCCUCCUAGAUGACCUCGUUCCAAUCCCCGGUGAUGUUGGUGUCAAUAAUAACAACAAAAAGCGCAGUAAUAAUAAUGUCGUCACUGAAAUUGCGUCCAUUGAAGGGAUAGAACCGUUGAGUAAUACGCACACUGCAACGCUUUCUCUACCCUGCUCAUCGAUCGACCCUAUCACAGUGGCCACCGACGUGUCGAUUAUGGAUGAGACCAUUGCGCUGACCAGGAAGAUGAAUCAGUGGAAGAGGAAGCUCAACAGGAAGAAGUUAAACUUUGAGGAUACGGAUGGGGAUCUUGAUGUUUCCUCUGGGUCGUCCUGCUCGGAGAGUACCUGGGAUUCCCAUGCGAUGCGGCUUAAGACCCCUCGCUUGGCUUCGCAUUUUUCCCCGAAUUCUUCUUUUGAGCAAGGUUCCUCAAUAGCCUCCUCAAAAACCGACGGAACGGAUACCAAAAUGUCCAGUGAUGCCGAAUUAGAAUUAUCUCUUAGCCUUCAGAGUAACAUCGUCUUCGCUUACAUUAAAAGAGGGAAAAUCUAACGAAAGCUAUUGGAUGUACUCCUCUGAAUGCAUAUGUAAAGGUCAAUUUGGUGCCUGCAGCCUCUGAGAAAACCUAUUACAGAACAUGUGUGCGGAAAAACUCUAUGAAUCCUAGAUUCGAUCAAAAAUUUAGUAUGGAAAUAACUGAAGCGGAUCGUAGUAAAAGAAUCCUAUUCUCUGUUUGGCAUCGAGAUCGGGGAAAAGG